Molecule: ribosomal RNA, 779 nt
Filed under: uncultured bacterium
Lineage: Bacteria
Description: bacterial SSU rRNA
Rfam family: Bacterial small subunit ribosomal RNA
Source: RNAcentral
UGGCGGCGUGCUUAACACAUGCAAGUCGAACGGACCCAUAUUGAAACCUGGUGAUAUAUGGGUUAGUGGCGGACGGGUGAGUAACGCGUGGGUAACCUGCCUUACACAGGGGGAUAACACUUGGAAAUAGGUGCUAAAACCGCAUAAGCGCACAGCUUCGCAUGAAGCGGUGUGAAAAACUCCGGUGGUGUAAGAUGGACCCGCGUCUGAUUAGCUUGUUGGCGGGGUAACGGCCCACCAAGGCGACGAUCAGUAGCCGGCCUGAGAGGGCGGACGGCCACAUUGGGACUGAGACACGGCCCAGACUCCUACGGGAGGCAGCAGUGGGGAAUAUUGCACAAUGGGGGAAACCCUGAUGCAGCGACGCCGCGUGAGUGAAGAAGUAAUUCGUUACGUAAAGCUCUAUCAGCAGGGAAGAAAUACUGACCUUACGGUCAGCAGACGGUACCUGAGUAAGAAGCCCCGGCUAACUACGUGCCAGCAGCCGCGGUAAUACGUAGGGGGCAAGCGUUAUCCGGAUUUACUGGGUGUAAAGGGAGCGUAGACGGUGCGCCAAGUCUGGAGUGAAAUGCCGCAGCUUAACUGCGGAACUGCUUUGGAAACUGGCGAACUAGAGUGCGGGAGGGGUAAGCGGAAUUCCUAGUGUAGCGGUGAAAUGCGUAGAUAUUAGGAGGAACACCGGUGGCGAAGGCGGCUUACUGGACCGUAACUGACGUUGAGGCUCGAAAGCGUGGGGAGCAAACAGGAUUAGAUACCCUGGUAGUCCACGCCGUAAACGA